RNAcentral lists this long non-coding RNA (1796 nucleotides) under Homo sapiens (human). Its description in RNAcentral is "HSALNT0117388". The record is from RNAcentral. Lineage: Eukaryota; Metazoa; Chordata; Mammalia; Primates; Hominidae.
CCAGGAAUGCUGGGAAACGAGGAGAAACACUAUGCUUUUCACAGCAUCACAGACGCAAAGGGAGUGAUCUUGGGGACACCAGAACAGUCUGCUUGCAGAGAUUAGGAACAGGACAGCUUAUUCCAGUCAAACAGCGAGACUAAAAGUGAGUCUAAGGCUCCAGCCUCUCCAGAUUCCUCCUGGCCCACGCAUGAACAUGGUCUCCGUGGCCAUCGAUUCUUCUGAGCCCACCUCCUCCACGUGAGUACACACGCUUGUCUACCUAUGGUCUGUGAAAGUGCACAGACUUUGGGUCAAACAGAUUUGAGUGUAGAGUCUGGCUUAGAAUUCCAGACCCAGCUCUUCUUCACUGUGUGAUUUGGGGCAAAAUAACCUGGCCUCUGGAAGCCUGAGUUUUUCAUCUGUAAAAUGAAAGCAGCACUAUUUUUCACUACGAUGUGCCAGCACACCACCCAUCUAGACCCUAAACAAGGUGGACCCCAGCUGGCUCCCUGGUGACCAGCUCCAAAAUGCCUUCCUUUGGACUUCACGUUCUGUGAGAGAACGCAAACCCUGACAUCUGGUUUCAUCCAGUUCCUUAGCUUUUCAGUGACAGGCAGCUGAACUCAAUUGUUAAUUGACUGAUCUCCAUUGCAUAGGGUUACUGUGAAGCGCAUAUGAGAUCACAGCUGUUAAAGUGCCAAACCACGUGACUUAUUUAGGACUCCUGACUUUCCUAAUGUUGCAUGGAGGAUAUUUAAUCAUAAAACAGUUAAAUCUGGCAUAGUGGGCUACCAAGAAGAAGGCAGGGUUCCGCUUACCAUACUGAGAGAGGGAUUGAGGCAGAAACUCCCUGGAACUAUGGGCAGCAACAAAGGAGGGAGGGCAGGUCACCUGUGCAGAAGAACAUGCACACACACAGGCAUGCACACAUAUUUGUACACGGGCACACUCAUCUGCACACACACAUGCACGCAUACGUGCACACCCUCCAGCACACAUGUGUUCAGAUCAUGCUCUCAUUUACACGUGCACACGGGCAUGCACACUCAUGCACAUGUACUGUUGACUCUAUCUUGAGCUUACACAUCAAAGCCACGAUCUGGUUCAGUACUUACUUGUUUAUUGAUAUUCCAUUUAGCAUUUACCAAGUACCUUCUAUGUAACUUGGCUAGGCAGUCUUUUUUUCUCAAACAAAAUCCAGUACAAAUCCUCCCUCAUCCAUGAAAUCUUUCUGGAUUCUCCAAUGGGAUUGAACUAAUCCUCAUAGAACUUUCCAUGUGCCCCUGCUUGUCACGAAUUUCAUUUACCUUCAGAGUAAAAUUGUUGCACAUACUUCUGUUUCCUUAAGUGGCUGUGGGAGCUGACAUUCUAGGCCCCAGUGAAAAGGUCUGGUCCUGAAACUGCGUCUCAGUUCUUGGCUUGAGAAAAGCACAGCUGGUUAGAAGUGCUUACACCACGGAGGCAUGAAGAGGACGUGAGGGUGGCUCAUUUUAAAAGCAAUGCGUUUAUCUUAUCUUCCAGUGCAGAGAGAGAGAGAAUCCCCUGCUUAGAGCACAGAAGCUGGUGCACCGUCCUGUGCCGCAUUGUCCUCUGGCUGCCUGCCUGGGGAGACCCCUCUCCCCUCUCCUUCCUGAACGCAGGCACGAGGAUUUGUACAUACGUGCACAUAAAUAUGGUAUUUCCCAGAGGGCCUGGCAUAAACAUUCUUAAUAUGUGCUUGUUAUAUUGCAGUGAACUAACACCCACAGUCAGUCAGGAAACAAAGUGCAUUGCAUGUUACCUGGGGAACAGUCAGCAGAACCUUGAUUUUACCU